This 465-nucleotide ribosomal RNA is filed under the name Vreelandella stevensii. RNAcentral describes it as "partial 16S ribosomal RNA". It matches the Rfam family "Bacterial small subunit ribosomal RNA", at positions 338 to 795 of the family's 1533-position model. Lineage: Bacteria; Pseudomonadati; Pseudomonadota; Gammaproteobacteria; Oceanospirillales; Halomonadaceae. The record is from RNAcentral.
CCUACGGGAGGCAGCAGUGGGGAAUAUUGGACAAUGGGGGGAACCCUGAUCCAGCCAUGCCGCGUGUGUGAAGAAGGCCCUCGGGUUGUAAAGCACUUUCAGUGGGGAAGAACGCCUGGAGGUUAAUACCCAUCAGGAAAGACAUCACUCACAGAAGAAGCACCGGCUAACUCCGUGCCAGCAGCCGCGGUAAUACGGAGGGUGCGAGCGUUAAUCGGAAUUACUGGGCGUAAAGCGCGCGUAGGUGGCUUGAUAAGCCGGUUGUGAAAGCCCCGGGCUCAACCUGGGAACGGCAUCCGGAACUGUCAAGCUAGAGUGCAGGAGAGGAAGGUAGAAUUCCCGGUGUAGCGGUGAAAUGCGUAGAGAUCGGGAGGAAUACCAGUGGCGAAGGCGGCCUUCUGGACUGACACUGACACUGAGGUGCGAAAGCGUGGGUAGCAAACAGGAUUAGAUACCCCAGUAGUC